CAUAUUUUGUGUUAUGUAUGGUUUCAGAGGAAAAAAUUCAGCAGAAUCUCUCAGACAUCUACAGUUACAUGUUUGACGAUUUUUUCUCACAAAGUUUUCUUUUUUAUAUUUAAUAUAAAGUCUCUGCAGCUGUAAGCAUCAUGGAUAAUUCUUCCAAUAGAGAAAUGCGAAAAUGGGAUUGGGAUCACCAAAUUCUGUCCAGAGAUCAUCCAGAAUUAGAGGAAUUGGAUACAAAACACAUCAGCAGUUUUAAAUAUUUAAUACAUUUUUUAAAUUUGCUGUUUUCACCUUAUAGGGUAGUAUAUUAUAUUAUGUGGCUAAUUGUUAAAAUAUAUUAUUAUUUUUUCUAAUAUUUAAUUUUUUCUGAAGUUUUGUUUUUGAAUAU
RNAcentral lists this long non-coding RNA (385 nucleotides) under Androctonus crassicauda. The record is from RNAcentral. Lineage: Eukaryota; Metazoa; Arthropoda; Arachnida; Scorpiones; Buthidae.